AGUCGAGCGGCAGCGGGAAAGUGGCUUGCUACUUUUGCCGGCGAGCGGCGGACGGGUGAGUAAUGCCUGGGGAUCUGCCCAGUCGAGGGGGAUAACAGUUGGAAACGACUGCUAAUACCGCAUACGCCCUACGGGGGAAAGGAGGGGACCUUCGGGCCUUUCGCGAUUGGAUGAACCCAGGUGGGAUUAGCUAGUUGGUGGGGUAAUGGCUCACCAAGGCGACGAUCCCUAGCUGGUCUGAGAGGAUGAUCAGCCACACUGGAACUGAGACACGGUCCAGACUCCUACGGGAGGCAGCAGUGGGGAAUAUUGCACAAUGGGGGAAACCCUGAUGCAGCCAUGCCGCGUGUGUGAAGAAGGCCUUCGGGUUGUAAAGCACUUUCAGCGAGGAGGAAAGGUUGGCGCCUAAUACGUGUCAACUGUGACGUUACUCGCAGAAGAAGCACCGGCUAACUCCGUGCCAGCAGCCGCGGUAAU
RNAcentral lists this ribosomal RNA (477 nucleotides) under uncultured bacterium. RNAcentral describes it as "bacterial SSU rRNA". It matches the Rfam family "Bacterial small subunit ribosomal RNA", at positions 60 to 524 of the family's 1533-position model. The record is from RNAcentral.